CCUAAGGCGAGGCCGAAAGGCGUAGUCGAUGGGAAACAGGUUAAUAUUCCUGUACUUGGUGUUACUGCGAAGGGGGGACGGAGAAGGCUAUGUUGGCCGGGCGACGGUUGUCCCGGUUUAAGCGUGUAGGUGUGUGUUCCAGGU
Molecule: ribosomal RNA, 144 nt
Filed under: Cronobacter dublinensis 582
Lineage: Bacteria; Pseudomonadati; Pseudomonadota; Gammaproteobacteria; Enterobacterales; Enterobacteriaceae
Description: Large Subunit Ribosomal RNA; lsuRNA; LSU rRNA
Rfam family: Bacterial large subunit ribosomal RNA
Source: RNAcentral